This 109-nucleotide non-coding RNA is filed under the name Jonquetella anthropi. Its description in RNAcentral is "TPP sequence". It matches the Rfam family "TPP riboswitch aptamer (THI element)". Rfam says of the family: Vitamin B(1) in its active form thiamin pyrophosphate (TPP) is an essential coenzyme that is synthesised by coupling of pyrimidine and thiazole moieties in bacteria. RNAcentral also lists the same sequence under 1 other name. The record is from RNAcentral. Lineage: Bacteria; Thermotogati; Synergistota; Synergistia; Synergistales; Dethiosulfovibrionaceae.
CCGUGGAACUGGGGGAGUCGGCAGCCGCCGGCUGAGAGGAGCUCGGAAGAGCUCGACCCCGGAACCUGAUCCGGAUCAUGCCGGCGCAGGGAAGGGCCUCCCGACGACU